RNAcentral lists this long non-coding RNA (783 nucleotides) under Monodelphis domestica (gray short-tailed opossum). RNAcentral's name for it is "lncRNA (ENSMODG00000032897.2)". The record is from RNAcentral. Lineage: Eukaryota; Metazoa; Chordata; Mammalia; Didelphimorphia; Didelphidae.
AAUAGCAUCUUCAGGGCGAGAGCAGGGAAGGCAUGUGUGUGUGGGCGUGAGGCACAAAGAGACUUGAUUUUUUCUUAUAACGUACAUACUUGUGAUUCACAACAGUAACUUCGCAUUUCUUGUCACGGUGUUUCCCCCUUUUUUCCAUGUGAAUUGCAGAAGGCAAAUCAUCUGAAUGAAUGAAACAGUGGGCCUACCUAGCAGAAAAUUCUGCUCUAAACUACUCAGGAAUUUGGAUGGCAUCUCAGUUCUUCAACCUCUUCAUUAAAAUAAAACAACACUGUUAAUACACAUCUAAGUACACACAAGAACUUUUACUAUAAUUUAUUCUUUCAUUUAAAUCAUUUCCUCCUUUUCUUUUUCACCAAUGAAGAAAUCACAUUUUGUUUCUCUGUGGUGAUGUUUGCUUCUAUGCAUAUGUUUUAAAAUUAUAGAUUUAGAGCUGGAAGGAAUCUUAGAGGUUGGUUAGGCUUAAUUUCAUUUUUACUGAUUAGGAAACCGAGGUCAAAAGAGGAUAAGUGACUUGACCAAGAUUACAUAUAUAGUAAGAAACAUAGCCAGGAUUAGACCCAGAUUUUCUGAUGAUAAAUUCAUAAUUUGAUUGUACUGCAAUUUUUUUUACAUUUUUAUAAGAUGUUUCAUGUCUGAAUAGUUAAUUGCUGAUUGAAACAUUUACUAAAUAUAUAUCUAUAUAUAUAGAUAUAUAUUUAUUUAUAUAGGAAUUAGAAAGGACUAGCGGGUUCCCUUUCAUGACUUUGGGGGAAAGGAAUGAAUUUCCUGGUA